Molecule: ribosomal RNA, 497 nt
Filed under: uncultured bacterium
Lineage: Bacteria
Description: partial 16S ribosomal RNA
Rfam family: Bacterial small subunit ribosomal RNA
Source: RNAcentral
GAUGAACGCUGGCGGCGUGCCUAAUACAUGCAAGUCGAGCGAACGGACGAGAAGCUUGCUUUUCUGAUGUUAGCGGCGGACGGGUGAGUAACACGUGGAUAACCUACCUAUAAGACUGGGAUAACUUCGGGAAACCGGAGCUAAUACCGGAUAAUAUUUUGAACCGCAUGGUUCAUAAGUGAAAGACGGUCUUGCUGUCACUUAUAGAUGGAUCCGCGCUGCAUUAGCUAGUUGGUAAGGUAACGGCUUACCAAGGCAACGACGCAUAGCCGACCUGAGAGGGUGAUCGGCCACACUGGAACUGAGACACGGUCCAGACUCCUACGGGAGGCAGCAGUAGGGAAUCUUCCGCAAUGGGCGAAAGCCUGACGGAGCAACGCCGCGUGAGUGAUGAAGGUCUUCGGAUCGUAAAACUCUGUUAUUAGGGAAGAACAUAUGUGUAAGUAACUGUGCACAUCUUGACGGUACCUAAUCAGAAAGCCACGGCUAACUACGUG